This 771-nucleotide ribosomal RNA is filed under the name uncultured Peptostreptococcus sp. Its description in RNAcentral is "bacterial SSU rRNA". It matches the Rfam family "Bacterial small subunit ribosomal RNA", at positions 68 to 849 of the family's 1533-position model. Lineage: Bacteria; Bacillati; Bacillota; Clostridia; Peptostreptococcales; Peptostreptococcaceae. The record is from RNAcentral.
UUCUGUGGAAAUUCUUUCGGGAAUGGAAAUGAAAUGAAAGUGGCGAACGGGUGAGUAACACGUGAGCAACCUACCUUACACAGGGGGAUAGCCGUUGGAAACGACGAUUAAUACAGCAUGAGACCACAGAAUCGCAUGAUAUAGGGGUCAAAGAUUUAUCGGUGUAAGAAGGGCUCGCGUCUGAUUAGCUAGUUGGAAGGGUAAAGGCCUACCAAGGCGACGAUCAGUAGCCGGUCUGAGAGGAUGAACGGCCACAUUGGAACUGAGACACGGUCCAAACUCCUACGGGAGGCAGCAGUGGGGAAUAUUGCACAAUGGGGGGAACCCUGAUGCAGCGACGCCGCGUGAGCGAAGAAGGUUUUCGAAUCGUAAAGCUCUGUCCUAUGAGAAGAUAAUGACGGUAUCAUAGGAGGGAGCCCCGGCUAAAUACGUGCCAGCAGCCGCGGUAAUACGUAUGGGGCGAGCGUUGUCCGGAAUUAUUGGGCGUAAAGGGUACGUAGGCGGUUUUUUAAGUCAGGUGUGAAAGCGUGAGGCUUAACCUCAUUAAGCACUUGAAACUGGAAGACUUGAGUGAAGGAGAGGAAAGUGGAAUUCCUAGUGUAGCGGUGAAAUGCGUAGAUAUUAGGAGGAAUACCGGUGGCGAAGGCGACUUUCUGGACUUUUACUGACGCUCAGGUACGAAAGCGUGGGGAGCAAACAGGAUUAGAUANCCUGGUAGUCCACGCCGUAAACGAUGAAUGCCAGGUGUUGGGAGUCAAAUCUCGGUGCCGA